Molecule: ribosomal RNA, 458 nt
Filed under: uncultured bacterium
Lineage: Bacteria
Description: partial 16S ribosomal RNA
Rfam family: Bacterial small subunit ribosomal RNA
Source: RNAcentral
CCUACGGGCGGCAGCAGUGGGGAAUAUUGCACAAUGGGGGAAACCCUGAUGCAGCGACGCCGCGUGAGUGAAGAAGUAUUUCGGUACGUAAAGCUCUAUCAGCAGGGAAGAAAAACCGGCCUUAGGGCCGCCAGACGGUACCUGACUAAGAAGCCCCGGCUAACGACGGGCCAGCAGCCGCGGUAAUACGUAGGGGGCAAGCGUGAUCCGGAUUUACUGGGUGUAAAGGGAGCGGAGACGGCAGCGCAAGUCUGGAGUGAAAUGCCGGGGCCCAACCCCGGAACUGCUGUCGAAAAUGGGCAGCUGGAGUGCAGGAGAGGUAAGCGGAAUUCGUGGUGUAGCGGUGAAAUGCGUAGAUAUUAGGAGGAACACCGGUGGCGAAGGCGGCUUACUGGACUGGAACUGACGUUGAGGCUCGAAAGCGUGGGGAGCAAACAGGAUUAGAUACCCUAGUAGUC